This is a long non-coding RNA of Apus apus (common swift), 1332 nucleotides long. RefSeq lists it as uncharacterized. The transcript has 3 exons. The record is from RefSeq and is a predicted model, not a curated record. Lineage: Eukaryota; Metazoa; Chordata; Aves; Apodiformes; Apodidae.
CCGGGCAGCGGGGCCGGCCUCGGGCCUCCGGGAGGGCGGCUUGGAAACUGGGGAAGGGAAGGUAAAAGCCGGGUGAUCCCGGAGAGGUGUCCUUUGGGAGCAGGCCCCGCUUCCUCGCGGCGAUGAUCCGCUUGACCCGGGGGGCUUUGUUUUCACUCCAGCUGCGUCCAGGUCCCUUUCUCAGCUGGGGUUCUGCGCAGCGGCAAGAUGGUUUUAUGCUGUUAACCAUGCUAGCAGAGAGAGCAAACACCACACUGAGAACCACGCUGAGUCCAGCCGCGUGGCCCCCCAUGGACAACUCUGCCUGACGUGCUCCUAAGCCCACCAGACGGGGACACUGCCAUUUUCUUAGACUCUGAGAAAGGUGCAAAUCAAGCUGAACGAGGUGAAAUUCUGAGCUGACAGAAAAAGGAAUGGCAUGUGUGAGAGCUUGCAACCUUGCAGGGUCGUUAGCCGGUGAGUCAUCUGUGCUGUCCUCUUCAGCGCUUGAUGGAAACAACACAUUGCUCAGGGUGAUGGACGGGAGCUGUGUCCUCUGUUACUAAAACAAGUCUCUGUAGCUGGGUCCUCUUCUUCAAGGUGGAAAUUGCCAUCACUUCUGUUUGAACAAGGAAAGCAUUCUUGAAAAGUAAAGCAAAAUUGCUGCCAGAAAAAGUGGAAUUUGUGUGUUAAAAAAAUUGUUUACUUGUGUUAUUGUGUUGAUUUUGCCACUCAGCUCUGGUGCAGAGUAGAAAGCAGCUGUUACUUUUAAUUGCACUAGAGAUUUGCAAAUAAAAAAAACUUUCUUCUUCAUCGGUAUAAUCUCUAAUGUUUUUACCAGAUAGUCUUUUCUCCUGCACGGCUUGAUUACAGUGCCUUGAGUCAGACUCAGUGAUUAAUGUGGCUGACUAGACUGACAACUGAGUGGAAAUGGUAAAUAAUCACUUGUUUUUAUACGUGUAAAAACCAGUUUCUACUCACAUUGGAAAUCCUUGCAUUUGGAAGGGCAUCCUUCCAUCUUGCUUCCUGCUAACCUAAGGUCAUUUAAGGAAUAACUGCUUUAAGUGCUUGUUGAUUACAGUGAUGUAAAUGUCUCUGGCCCAGGCACUGCAGUGAACAAGACUUUCCAAACAGGAAUAUGGUUAAACCAAAGGCCGCAACUUUUAUGAACUACAUUGCCUAAUAAAACAGGGAGGAACUGCUAGCCAGCUGUUCCCCACAAACUACCCAGUAAAACAGGACCAGUGAGGUUCACCAAGCACGAGACUAUGGAGGCCAAGCUAAAUGUUUAAAAGAAGGCUAACCGCAUCCUCCCUCCUGCAAAAGUGACCAAGGCAUCUGGUCCCAAAGUAC